GACGAACGCUGGCGGCGUGCUUAACACAUGCAAGUCGAACGGAAAGGCCCUGCUUUUGUGGGGUGCUCGAGUGGCGAACGGGUGAGUAACACGUGAGUAACCUGCCCUUGACUUUGGGAUAACUUCAGGAAACUGGGGCUAAUACCGGAUAGGAGCUCCUGCUGCAUGGUGGGGGUUGGAAAGUUUCGGCGGUUGGGGAUGGACUCGCGGCUUAUCAGCUUGUUGGUGGGGUAGUGGCUUACCAAGGCUUUGACGGGUAGCCGGCCUGAGAGGGUGACCGGCCACCUUGGGACUGAGCUACGGCCCAGACUCCUACGGGAGGCAGCAGUGGGGAAUAUUGCACAAUGGGCGGAAGCCUGAUGCAGCAACGCCGCGUGCGGGAUGACGGCCUUCGGGUUGUAAACCGCUUUCGCCUGUGACGAAGCGUGAGUGACGGUAAUGGGUAAAGAAGCACCGGCUAACUACGUG
This 468-nucleotide ribosomal RNA is filed under the name uncultured bacterium. RNAcentral describes it as "partial 16S ribosomal RNA". It matches the Rfam family "Bacterial small subunit ribosomal RNA", at positions 28 to 507 of the family's 1533-position model. The record is from RNAcentral.